RNAcentral lists this ribosomal RNA (81 nucleotides) under Convolvulus leucochnous. RNAcentral describes it as "partial 5.8S ribosomal RNA". It matches the Rfam family "5.8S ribosomal RNA", at positions 78 to 154 of the family's 154-position model. From Rfam's summary of the family: 5.8S ribosomal RNA (5.8S rRNA) is a component of the large subunit of the eukaryotic ribosome. Lineage: Eukaryota; Viridiplantae; Streptophyta; Magnoliopsida; Solanales; Convolvulaceae. The record is from RNAcentral.
AAUCCCGUGAACCAUCGAGUCUUUGAACGCAAGUUGCGCCCGAAGCCGUCMCGCCGAGGGCACCUCUGCCUGGGCGUCACG